Molecule: ribosomal RNA, 1429 nt
Filed under: uncultured organism
Description: 16S ribosomal RNA
Rfam family: Bacterial small subunit ribosomal RNA
Source: RNAcentral
GAUGAACGCUGGCGGCGUGCCUAACACAUGCAAGUCGAGCGAGAAAUCUUGGAAUGAGACUUCGGUUAAGUGAAGAGAUGGAAAGCGGCGGACGGGUGAGUAACGCGUAGGCAACCUGCCUUAUGCAGAGGGAUAGCCAUUGGAAACGAUGAUUAAAACCUCAUAAAGCCAUUUUAUCACAUGGUGAGAUGGUCAAAGAUUUAUCGGCAUAAGAUGGGCCUGCGUCUGAUUAGCUAGUUGGUGGGGUAACGGCCUACCAAGGCGACGAUCAGUAGCCGACCUGAGAGGGUGAUCGGCCACAUUGGAACUGAGACACGGUCCAAACUCCUACGGGAGGCAGCAGUGGGGAAUAUUGCACAAUGGGCGAAAGCCUGAUGCAGCAACGCCGCGUGAAGGAAGAAGGUCUUCGGAUCGUAAACUUCUGUCCUUGGGGAAGAUAAUGACGGUACCCUUGGAGGAAGCCCCGGCUAACUACGUGCCAGCAGCCGCGGUAAUACGUAGGGGGCAAGCGUUAUCCGGAUUUACUGGGUGUAAAGGGAGCGUAGACGGUUUAGCAAGUCUGAAGUGAAAGCCCGGGGCUCAACCCCGGUACUGCUUUGGAAACUGUUAGACUUGAGUGCAGGAGAGGUAAGUGGAAUUCCUAGUGUAGCGGUGAAAUGCGUAGAUAUUAGGAGGAACACCAGUGGCGAAGGCGGCUUACUGGACUGUAAACUGACGUUGAGGGCUCGAAAGCGUGGGGGAGCAAACAGGAUUAGAUACCCUGGUAGUCCACGCCGUAAACGAUGAGUACUAGGUGUCGGGGGGCAAAGCCCUUCGGUGCCGCCGCAAACGCAAUAAGUAUUCCACCUGGGGAGUACGUUCGCAAGAAUGAAACUCAAAGGAAUUGACGGGGACCCGCACAAGCGGUGGAGCAUGUGGUUUAAUUCGAAGCAACGCGAAGAACCUUACCUGGUCUUGACAUCCUUCUGAUCGGUCCUUAACCGGACCUUUCCUUCGGGACAGGAGUGACAGGUGGUGCAUGGUUGUCGUCAGCUCGUGUCGUGAGAUGUUGGGUUAAGUCCCGCAACGAGCGCAACCCCUAUCUUUAGUAGCCAGCAUAUAAGGUGGGCACUCUAGAGAGACUGCCAGGGAUAACCUGGAGGAAGGUGGGGACGACGUCAAAUCAUCAUGCCCCUUAUGACCAGGGCUACACACGUGCUACAAUGGCGUAAACAGAGGGAAGCAGCCUCGUGAGAGUGAGCAAAUCCCAAAAAUAACGUCUCAGUUCGGAUUGUAGUCUGCAACUCGACUACAUGAAGCUGGAAUCGCUAGUAAUCGCGAAUCAGAAUGUCGCGGUGAAUACGUUCCCGGGUCUUGUACACACCGCCCGUCACACCAUGGGAGUCAGUAACGCCCGCCGUCAAAGGCCCAACCGUAAGGAGGGAGCUGA